UAUAAAGUGCCUGAUUAAAGGAUUAUUCUGAUAGAGUAAAUUAAAUAAAUUUAAAAUUUUAUCUUUAUAU
This 70-nucleotide transfer RNA is filed under the name Maesaipsyche stengeli. RNAcentral's name for it is "tRNA-Ile". Lineage: Eukaryota; Metazoa; Arthropoda; Insecta; Trichoptera; Hydropsychidae. The record is from RNAcentral.